AGAACGAACGCUGGCGGCAUGCCUAAUACAUGCAGGUCGAACGAACUCUUCGGAGUUAGUGGCGCACGGGUGCGUAACGCGUGGGAAUCUGCCCCUUGGUUCGGAAUAACAGUUGGAAACGACUGCUAAUACCGGAUGAUGACGAAAGUCCAAAGAUUUAUCGCCAAGGGAUGAGCCCGCGUAGGAUUAGCUAGUUGGUGAGGUAAAGGCUCACCAAGGCAACGAUCCUUAGCUGGUCUGAGAGGAUGAUCAGCCACACUGGGACUGAGACACGGCCCAGACUCCUACGGGAGCAGCAGUAGGGAAUAUUGG
RNAcentral lists this ribosomal RNA (312 nucleotides) under uncultured soil bacterium. RNAcentral's name for it is "bacterial SSU rRNA". It matches the Rfam family "Bacterial small subunit ribosomal RNA", at positions 26 to 367 of the family's 1533-position model. The record is from RNAcentral.